RNAcentral lists this long non-coding RNA (402 nucleotides) under Linum usitatissimum (flax). RNAcentral's name for it is "long non-coding RNA (LUSI_LNC007803)". Lineage: Eukaryota; Viridiplantae; Streptophyta; Magnoliopsida; Malpighiales; Linaceae. The record is from RNAcentral.
GACAACCUUCUUUCAGUUGCCAUCCGUUCAGGAGAAGAUAAAUUUCUCGUGGAUGGUUCUCGAGUGGGAAGGUCUCGAGUAGGAAGGUAUAAGCUGCAAGAUUGAAGGUGGAAGACUAUAAUUUUGCCAACCAUUUUGUAAGAAAGUGGCAUAGUGCCAUUAAUGUGUGAUUUAUGUAUGUUGUUGCUCAAACUUAGUACUGGUUUAUGACUUUAUAUGUACUUUGAAACUUAAAAGCAGUUUGUUGCUCCAAUGAUAUAUUCACAUGCCAGCACUAACAGAAUGCGCCCUUACAACAAGUACGUACCGUACCGUCUACCGAUCGAUCAUCAAUUGACUAAGAUUGAAAUAAUAUUCAUUAAUAAUGAUAUAUAUAUAUAUAUAUAUAUAUUUUUUUUGGUA